GGAAGUAAAGGUCGUAACAAGGUUUCCGUAGGUGAACCUGCGGAAGGAUCAUUAAAGUUAUAGUCCCCCGGCCCUCUGGGCUGGGGUCUUCUAUACCACCCUUUGUUUAUUACACCUUUGUUGCUUUGGCAGGCCUGCCCUCGGGCUGCUGGCUCCGGCCGGCUCGCGUCUGCCAGAGGACCUAAACUCUGUUUGUAUAUGAAGUCUGAGUACUAUAUAAUAGUUAAAACUUUCAACAACGGAUCUCUUGGUUCUG
This 256-nucleotide unclassified non-coding RNA is filed under the name plant metagenome. RNAcentral's name for it is "partial contains small subunit ribosomal RNA, internal transcribed spacer 1, and 5.8S ribosomal RNA". The stretch from base 1 to 54 matches the Rfam family "Eukaryotic small subunit ribosomal RNA", at positions 1778 to 1831 of the family's 1831-position model. The record is from RNAcentral.